CCUUACCCUGGACUUGAACGUAUUAGGCAUAAUUUGGAAACAGAUUAGUUAGCAAUAACCUGAUACGAGGUGCUGCAUGGUUGUCGUCAGCUCGUGCCGUGAGGUGUCAGGUUAAGUCCUAUAACGAGCGCAACCCCUACACAUAGUUACCAACACGUUGCGGUGGGGACUCUAUGUGGACUGCCGGCGCAAGCUGAGAGGAAAGUGGGGAUGACGUCAAAUCAGCACGGCCCUUACGUCCAGGGCGACACACGUGCUACAAUGGCAGGUACAGAGGGCAGCUACACAGUGAUGUGAUGCGAAUCUCAAAAGCCUGUCUCAGUUCGGAUUGGAGUCUGCAACCCGACUCCAUGAAGUUGGAUUCGCUAGUAAUCGCAGAUCAGCCAUGCUGCGGUGAAUACGUUCCCGGGCCUUGUACACACCGCCCGUCAAGCCAUGGAAGUUAGGGGUGCCUGAAGUUCGUGACCGAGAGGAGCGACCUAGGGCAAAACUAGUAACUGGGGCUAAGAUCGUAACAAGGUAGCCGUAAUCUUCCGCGGCCGGUU
Molecule: ribosomal RNA, 545 nt
Filed under: uncultured Rikenellaceae bacterium
Lineage: Bacteria; Pseudomonadati; Bacteroidota; Bacteroidia; Bacteroidales; Rikenellaceae
Description: bacterial SSU rRNA
Rfam family: Bacterial small subunit ribosomal RNA
Source: RNAcentral